CAUCUCUUCGCACUCACUCAGAGUAGAUCUCAUAGUCGGACUAAAGAGAAGAGUACCAUCUACGUAGAUAUAACCCGUACCUACGGAGCAAUCAGCAGCAGUUUCUGGUUAACUACCAAGCAGAGUGCAUGUAAAGUGAAAGUUGAAACAAGUGAAAAAACAAACUCUGACCAGAAAUAUAGAUCUGUGGUGAACUAUGGGCUAAGGCUAUAUGGCCAAUCUGAUCACCAAAAGCGAUAGGAUGGUGGUACCAUUGUAAGAUGAUUAAUUACUAGAGAUCGGCCUUCUUUUCUUCCCACAAGCACCAUUUGGGAAUGGCGGUUGCAGUAGUGCGCCCACAGCUAAUGGCUUACCAAGCAGUGGAGAGG
Aedes aegypti (yellow fever mosquito) is the source of this 368-nucleotide long non-coding RNA. RefSeq lists it as uncharacterized. The transcript has 3 exons. The record is from RefSeq and is a predicted model, not a curated record. NCBI's taxonomy places the organism in Eukaryota, Metazoa, Arthropoda, Insecta, Diptera, Culicidae.